RNAcentral lists this ribosomal RNA (451 nucleotides) under uncultured bacterium. Its description in RNAcentral is "bacterial SSU rRNA". It matches the Rfam family "Bacterial small subunit ribosomal RNA", at positions 354 to 796 of the family's 1533-position model. The record is from RNAcentral.
GUCGAGAAUCAUUCGCAAUGGGCGCAAGCCUGACGAUGCGACGCCGCGUGUGGGAUGGAGGCCUUCGGGUUGUAAACCACUGUCACAGGGGAAGAAACGUGCGAACGCUAACAUCGUUCGUGCCUGACGUUACCCUGAGAGGAAGCCACGGCUAACUCCGUGCCAGCAGCCGCGGUAAUACGGAGGUGGCGAGCGUUGUUCGGAAUCACUGGGCGUAAAGGGUGUGUAGGCGGCUGGCCGUGUUCGGUGUGAAAUCCCCCGGUUCUUCUGGGGAACUGCAUCGAAAACUGGCCGGCUCGAGUGCAGGAGAGGAGAAUGGAAUUUCCGGUGUAGCGGUGAAAUGCGUAGAUAUCGGAAGGAACGCCAAUGGCGAAAGCAGUUCUCUGGCCUGUAACUGACGCUGAGGCACGAAAGCCAAGGGAGCAAACGGGAUUAGAAACCCCGGUAGUCC